GACGAACCGUGCGAACGUUAUUCGGAAUCACUGGGCUUAAAGGGUGCGUAGGCUGCGAGGAGGGUGGGGUGUGAAAUCCCUCGGCCUAACCGAGGAAUUGCGCUCCAAACCGCCUUGCUAGAGUGAGACAGAGGUGAGCGGAACUAAUGGUGGAGCGGUGAAAUGCGUUGAUAUCAUUAGGAACACCAGAGGCGAAGGCGGCUCACUGGGUCUCAACUGACGCUGAUGCACGAAAGCUAGGGUAGCGAACGGG
Molecule: ribosomal RNA, 253 nt
Filed under: uncultured bacterium
Lineage: Bacteria
Description: partial 16S ribosomal RNA
Rfam family: Bacterial small subunit ribosomal RNA
Source: RNAcentral